Molecule: transfer RNA, 71 nt
Filed under: Cordylochernes scorpioides
Lineage: Eukaryota; Metazoa; Arthropoda; Arachnida; Pseudoscorpiones; Chernetidae
Description: tRNA-Gly
Source: RNAcentral
UGCAUCGGCCGGAAAUCGAACCUGGGGCGCCCGCUUGGCAGGCGAGCAUUCUACCACUGAACCACCGAUGC